ACCCACAUGAUUAUCGGAACAAGAAAAUAGGAAAGGGAUUAGGGUUCAGUAAUACACAAUCUCACAUGAUGCUUAUUCUUCCUCCGUGAAAGCAUAGACGGCGGCGCGGUGACGGAGAUCCUUCUUUGAUCAAUUCAUCUCUUCCCCUCCGCCGUGAGUCAGAACAUUAAAAACGUUAUCUCGCCGCUCCGCAUUGCUCUCGACUCUCCGUUCUCCCUUUGUCUUAAACCGCUCCAUCAACUUCCUCUUCUCCGAUCGCAAUACCAUGGUGGCGCGGUGUAGCUCCUUCGUUCUCCUCCCAAAAUCCCGAGUCUUCGUCUCAAUCUCUUCUACUCUGAUCGCGACCUCAAUUUCAUCUUCUCCGAUUGAAAAAUCACGGUGGUGCAGCGAUGUAAACACGAGGAAGCGGCGGAGACUUCUGCUUUAGAGCUUCAGUGAUGUCGAUUCAACGUGGAGGUUAAAGUUAUUUGUUGAAGGAUGAAGGUGAUGACGUUAUGGCUCGAUGUUGUUGAAAACGAUGAAGAUGGUGAUGAACGUGAUGGUUGAAGAUGAUGAGAUUCAAGAAAGGAGAGUUAACAGUUUGGUUACGUCUUUGUUCAGUGAUUCUUGGAUGAAGGAUUCUGGUUUUCUCGAUCUGAAUUUAGAGUAUAUUUUGUCAGUUGAAGAAGAAGAUUGAGGAUUCUCGAAGGUUGAUUGAAGAUGAAGAGUAAGAGUGAAGGGAGUUUUUGGUUCUUGUGUUGAAGAUUAUUGAUGAUUCAUGAUUGAAGGUGAUGAAGAUUGGGGAAGAUUGAAGAUGCUGAAUUCUGAGAUUGCGAAGGUUAUGGUUCAUUGAUGAUUGAAAAGAUGAAUCUCCUUCAGAGAGAGAGUAAUGGCCGAAAAAGUUUGUUACGUUUCUGUUCAGGGAUCGGUUUUUGCGUUUCUGCUGCAAGAAUUGUUGUUCUGUUUAUUUACUCUGUCAGUCAUCUGCCAAAAUGCUAAACAUUAAUGUAUCAACACUUUCGACUAUUAUCAAAUUCUCUUCUGCCCACUAUCAAAUUCGCGCCGGUCUAACACAUCCAACCUGAGUUUUUCACUGUUGAUGUCAGUAACAACACGUCCAGAUGUAGUAGAGAACUCACGAGCAACUAAUUUUUCAUCUCUGUUUUUGUUGAAUUUUUGGAAGUAAUGUAACCUUGGAAUGUAUCAAUUGGAAUGUAAUUUUCAUGAUGAAACUUUGUGAUGAAUGACGAAUUGUUCUUGUUUUUGACUGAAUCUAAUGGAAACAUGUAAAAUGUUUGAAUAUUGAAGGGACUUUUGCAAAGAGACCUUGAAUGUUGUUGUGAUGAUAUUGUAUGAAUACAUGAACAUUUGAAUCUUUUGUAA
Vicia villosa (hairy vetch) is the source of this 1362-nucleotide long non-coding RNA. RefSeq lists it as uncharacterized. NCBI's taxonomy places the organism in Eukaryota, Viridiplantae, Streptophyta, Magnoliopsida, Fabales, Fabaceae. The transcript is spliced from 3 exons. The record is from RefSeq and is a predicted model, not a curated record.